Molecule: ribosomal RNA, 497 nt
Filed under: uncultured bacterium
Lineage: Bacteria
Description: partial 16S ribosomal RNA
Rfam family: Bacterial small subunit ribosomal RNA
Source: RNAcentral
GAUGAACGCUGGCGUCGUGCCUAAUACAUGCCAGUCGAGCGAACAGACGAGGAGCUUGCUCCUCUGACGUUAGCGGCGGACGGGUGAGUAACACGUGGAUAACCUACCUAUAAGACUGGGAUAACUUCGGGAAACCGGAGCUAAUACCGGAUAAUAUAUUGAACCGCAUGGUUCAAUAGUGAAAGACGGUUUUGCUGUCACUUAUAGAUGGAUCCGCGCCGCAUUAGCUAGUUGGUAAGGUAACGGCUUACCAAGGCAACGAUGCGUAGCCGACCUGAGAGGGUGAUCGGCCACACUGGAACUGAGACACGGUCCAGACUCCUACGGGAGGCAGCAGUAGGGAAUCUUCCGCAAUGGGCGAAAGCCUGACGGAGCAACGCCGCGUGAGUGAUGAAGGUCUUCGGAUCGUAAAACUCUGUUAUUAGGGAAGAACAAAUGUGUAAGUAACUAUGCACGUCUUGACGGUACCUAAUCAGAAAGCCACGGCUAACUACGUG